Lycium ferocissimum is the source of this 282-nucleotide long non-coding RNA. RefSeq lists it as uncharacterized. NCBI's taxonomy places the organism in Eukaryota, Viridiplantae, Streptophyta, Magnoliopsida, Solanales, Solanaceae. The record is from RefSeq and is a predicted model, not a curated record. The transcript has 2 exons.
UUAACCUACUCAGGUACAUCAGGAAACUAGAAGUGUUUAUUUUUCAAAAAAGAAGUUCUUAGUUUGAAGAGAUAAGGUGUUUGGCCAAAUUUCAAGAGAAAGAAAUUGUCUUUGAGUAGUAGUAAAAGUGGCUUUAACUUUUUCAAGACAAAAUACACUUGCACAAUAUUUUAAAUGUACCAAACUAUUCGAACAGUAUAGAGGAAGUCUAAACUCAUGCGUUGUCGAGAACACAUCUAUGACCAAAGUCUCAUAACAGGCUCCCACUCCAUAUGUAUUGAU